This 570-nucleotide ribosomal RNA is filed under the name uncultured Geodermatophilaceae bacterium. Its description in RNAcentral is "bacterial SSU rRNA". It matches the Rfam family "Bacterial small subunit ribosomal RNA", at positions 335 to 916 of the family's 1533-position model. The record is from RNAcentral. Lineage: Bacteria; Bacillati; Actinomycetota; Actinomycetes; Geodermatophilales; Geodermatophilaceae.
ACUCCUACGGGAGGCAGCAGUGGGGAAUAUUGGGCAAUGGGCGGAAGCCUGACCCAGCGACGCCGCGUGCGGGAUGAAGGCCUUCGGGUUGUAAACCGCUUUCAGCAGGGAAGAAGCGAAAGUGACGGUACCUGCAAAAGAAGCACCGGCUAACUACGUGCCAGCAGCCGCGGUAAUACGUAGGGUGCAAGCGUUGUCCGGAAUUAUUGGGCGUAAAGAGCUCGUAGGUGGUUUGCCACGUCGGAUGUGAAACCCUGAGGCUCAACCUCAGGCCUGCAUUCGAUACGGGCAGACUAGAGUGUGGUAGGGGAGACUGGAAUUCCUGGUGUAGCGGUGAAAUGCGCAGAUAUCAGGAGGAACACCGGUGGCGAAGGCGGGUCUCUGGGCCAUUACUGACACUGAGGAGCGAAAGCGUGGGGAGCAAACAGGAUUAGAUACCCUGGUAGUCCACGCCGUAAACGGUGGGCACUAGGUGUGGGACCCUUCCACGGGUUCUGCGCCGCAGCUAACGCAUUAAGUGCCCCGCCUGGGGAGUACGGCCGCAAGGCUAAAACUCAAAUGAAUUGACGG